GGCGAACGGGUGAGUAACACGUGAGCAACCUACCCAUCACAUCGGGAUAACUUCGGGAAACCGAAGCUAAUACCGAAUACGACCACCUCAGGCAUCUGACGGUGGUGGAAAGUUCCGGCGGUGAUGGAUGGGCUCGCGGCCUAUCAGCUUGUUGGUGGGGUAGUGGCCCACCAAGGCUUCGACGGGUAGCCGGCCUGAGAGGGUGACCGGCCACACUGGGACUGAGACACGGCCCAGACUCCUACGGGAGGCAGCAGUGGGGAAUAUUGGACAAUGGGCGAAAGCCUGAUCCAGCAACGCCGCGUGAGGGAUGACGGCCUUCGGGUUGUAAACCUCUUUCAGCAGGGACGAAGCGAAAGUGACGGUACCUGCAGAAGAAGCACCGGCCAACUACGUGCCAGCAGCCGCGGUAAUACGUAGGGUGCGAGCGUUGUCCGGAAUUAUUGGGCGUAAAGGGCUCGUAGGCGGUCUGUCGCGUCGGGAGUGAAAACUCAGGGCUUAACCCUGAGCCUGCUUCCGAUACGGGCAGACUAGAGGUAUGCAGGGGAGAAUGGAAUUCCUGGUGUAGCGGUGAAAUGCGCAGAUAUCAGGAGGAACACCGGUGGCGAAGGCGGUUCUCUGGGCAUUACCUGACGCUGAGGAGCGAAAGUGUGGGGAGCGAACAGGAUUAGAUACCCUGGUAGUCCACACCGUAAACGUUGGGCGCUAGGUGUGGGACUCAUUCCACGAGUUCCGUGCCGCAGCUAACGCAUUAAGCGCCCCGCCUGGGGAGUACGGCCGCAAGGCUAAAACUCAAAGGAAUUGACGG
Molecule: ribosomal RNA, 808 nt
Filed under: uncultured bacterium
Lineage: Bacteria
Description: bacterial SSU rRNA
Rfam family: Bacterial small subunit ribosomal RNA
Source: RNAcentral